ACCUGCGGAAGGAUUAUUUG
RNAcentral lists this ribosomal RNA (20 nucleotides) under Pulsatilla cernua. RNAcentral's name for it is "Anemone cernua partial 18S ribosomal RNA". The record is from RNAcentral. Lineage: Eukaryota; Viridiplantae; Streptophyta; Magnoliopsida; Ranunculales; Ranunculaceae.